Molecule: unclassified non-coding RNA, 572 nt
Filed under: Hevea brasiliensis (rubber tree)
Lineage: Eukaryota; Viridiplantae; Streptophyta; Magnoliopsida; Malpighiales; Euphorbiaceae
Source: RNAcentral
CAGAGAUCUUCUCCCACGAUUGGUUAAAGAUGGAAAUGAUGGCAAUACUGGAUCGACCGCUGUAUGUGAUACAAUCUGCCUGCAGGCUCUCUCAAAAAGAAUUCAUUAUGGAAAAUUUGUCGCUGAAGCCAAAUAUCGGGCCUCUCCAGAUGCAUAUGAAGCUGCAAUUAGGGCACAGGACAGAGAGAGGUUGAUGGAUUUGCUGACAUACAAGAAAGUUGAAGAGGCAAUCAAAAAGAGAGUGGAGAUGAAAGCUAUAACUUUCGGGCAAGAGGUGACAAUAUAUUGCGAGGAAGAUGGAAGUGACCCAGCAUGCAAAAUAGAACCAAGCUUGGUUGCCAAUCUAUAUGAGGACUCGAUAAUGCCAUUGACAAAAGAAGUUCAAGUUAUGUAUUUACUGAGAAGGUUGGAUUAAACUUUUCAAUGGCUGUUUAUGAUAGAGUUUUUCCUGAUAGCAGCCGGUUGAUGCUUGUGCUUGUAAUUACACGUGUGAAAGAUGACAGAUAUGCAAGAUCGCUGUGUAAAAAUAUCAAACAGUUACAGAUUUAGAAAAAUAAAUUUUGUGCAUGGAG